Molecule: ribosomal RNA, 403 nt
Filed under: uncultured bacterium
Lineage: Bacteria
Description: partial 16S ribosomal RNA
Rfam family: Bacterial small subunit ribosomal RNA
Source: RNAcentral
AUUGAACGCUGGCGGCAGGCCUAACACAUGCAAGUCGAGCGAGCGGCGGACGGGUGAGUAAUGUAUGGGGACUGCCCGAUAGAGGGGGAUAACUACUGGAAACGGUGGCUAAUACCGCAUACUAUCGGAUAACCCAUAUGGGAUUAGCUAGUAGGUGGGGUAAAGGCUCACCUGGGCGACGAUCUCUAGCUGGUCUGAGAGGAUGAUCAGCCAAACUGGAACGGAGAAACGGCCCAGACUCCAACGGAGGCAGCAGUGGGAAAUAUUGCAAAAUGGGCGAAAGCCGUAGGAAGCCAUGCCGCGUGUAUGAAGAAGGCCUUAGGGUGGUAAAGUACUUUCAGCGGGGAGGCGUUACCCGAAGAAGAAGCAACGGCUAACUCCGUGCCAGCAGCCGCGGUAAUAC